Small nucleolar RNA from Eptesicus fuscus (big brown bat), 133 nucleotides. RefSeq annotates it as small nucleolar RNA SNORA42/SNORA80 family. Lineage: Eukaryota; Metazoa; Chordata; Mammalia; Chiroptera; Vespertilionidae. The record is from RefSeq and is a predicted model, not a curated record. The transcript has a single exon.
GCAUGGGUUUGGAUUUAUGCCAGGCCCAUCCCCCUGGGUCUCUUAUGGUGCCCCUGACAGAGCAAACUAUGGCCUUAAACCAUUGCCUGGCCUCUGCCUAUAGGACACAGGCACUGAAGUGAGUUGCACAGCA